GACAGAGGGUGCAAACGUUGUUCGGAAUUACUGGGCGUAAAGGGUGCGUAGGCGGCUUUCUAAGUUGGAUGUGAAAACUCUGGGCUCAACCCAGAGCCUGCAUCCAAAACUGGAAAGCUAGGGUUCUGGAGGGGAAAGCGGAAUUCCUGGUGUAGCGGUGAAAUGCGUAGAUAUCAGGAGGAACACCGGUGGCGAAGGCGGCUUUCUGGACAGAUACCGACGCUGAGGCACGAAAGCUAGGGGAGCAAACAGG
Molecule: ribosomal RNA, 253 nt
Filed under: uncultured bacterium
Lineage: Bacteria
Description: partial 16S ribosomal RNA
Rfam family: Bacterial small subunit ribosomal RNA
Source: RNAcentral